This 42-nucleotide non-coding RNA is filed under the name Schistosoma mansoni. The record is from RNAcentral. Lineage: Eukaryota; Metazoa; Platyhelminthes; Trematoda; Strigeidida; Schistosomatidae.
AUCCUGACGAGUCUCAAACGAAACGAAACGUGCGUCCUGGAU